UACGUAGGGCGCAAGCGUUGUCCGGAAUUAAUGGGCGUAAAGAGCUCGUAGGCGGUUUGUCGCGUCUGCUGUGAAAACCUAAGGCUCAACCUUGGGCUUGCAGUGGGUACGGGCAGACUAGAGUGCGGUAGGGGUGACUGGAAUUCCUGGUGUAGCGGUGGAAUGCGCAGAUAUCAGGAGGAACACCGAUGGCGAAGGCAGGUCACUGGGCCGCAACUGACGCUGAGGAGCGAAAGCAUGGGGAGCGAACAGG
This 253-nucleotide ribosomal RNA is filed under the name uncultured bacterium. RNAcentral describes it as "partial 16S ribosomal RNA". It matches the Rfam family "Bacterial small subunit ribosomal RNA", at positions 524 to 776 of the family's 1533-position model. The record is from RNAcentral.